Molecule: long non-coding RNA, 224 nt
Filed under: Homo sapiens (human)
Lineage: Eukaryota; Metazoa; Chordata; Mammalia; Primates; Hominidae
Description: HSALNT0233979
Source: RNAcentral
GAAAAGAAGCCAUGUUGGGAAGGCAAGCUAAAUACAGAACAUGACCCAAAAGCAAAGGGUGUCUCCAAAAGGGGUAAUGCAGACCGAGACAAUAGUUUCACAGAUCAAUAGGAAACAUUUAAAGGUCCACUGAUGAGCUAGACUGCAGGGGCGCUCCUCUUCUAUAAAAGGAAAAUAAAAUGGAUCAAUAAGAAAUGAAAACUGAUAUUAAAAGGCUGAGAUUU